This 8351-nucleotide long non-coding RNA is filed under the name Anolis carolinensis (green anole). RNAcentral's name for it is "lncRNA (ENSACAG00000042038.1)". Lineage: Eukaryota; Metazoa; Chordata; Lepidosauria; Squamata; Anolidae. The record is from RNAcentral.
GUGGUGGUGACCUCCCUUCACAGCGGGGAGGAGGCGUCUUUUCUCUCCUCCUUUCCAAAGCCAGCCUCGGUGCUCCUUCGGCGGCAGGCCUCGAGCCGCAGAGCACGAGGUGCUUGAAAAUUUGGCGAAGUCGCCAUUUUGGCAGUUUACGUCACUCGGGCAAGGGAGGUAUCAAGUGGCAAGUUGCUGUCAGUUGGCAUUUUGCAGCUUGCCCACCAAAGUCUGGCGCCAAAGGUCACAAUCUUUGUAAAGUAUAGUUACUUAGUGAUAUAUAUUGCUAUGGUUAAGUGCUGUGAAUUGUAUUAUAUAUUGAAUUUGCCUUUAUUGUAAGUUUACUUGCAGGUAUAUUGCAUUUGCCUUUGUUGUAAAUUUACUUGCUAUUAAGAAUACAUAAUGUCUAUGCAAUUUCAAGAUGAUGCAGAUGGUAUACCUCCUUCUGAGGCUGAAAGUAGGAAUGAAAGGCCCCAAAGGAUAAAGCACCCUUCAGCCAAGAUGCUAGCCCAUCUAAUAGAUGAAAAGGAGCUCCUCCAUGUGAGGUUAGGUUCGGCAUGGGAGCGAAUUGUAACAUUAAUGGACAGAAUUGAGAGCUUGGGUAUUACAAGGGUGCCAUCCAUAUUACAGACAGACCUUGAAGAGACCUUCGGUAUUUGGAGGGGUUUGGUGUCUAAGAUAGUCCAGGUCCUCGAGCGCAUUAACGCCAAGGAUUCAGAGUUAGAAAUAGUGAGUGUCUUAGCUGACACUAAUGAGAAAGAAAAUAAGGUGAGGGCAAUUCUAGAUGCCUUGGAAUUUAGUUCUCCACCUGUUAAUCUAAGGUCUGAGCCAAAAGGAAAUCAGUCUUCCUUAUGCAGCCAUGAGACCAAUCUUUUAAAAUCACCUGCUGUGGCACUUAGUCUUAAGUCCAACCACUCUAGCCAGGUAUCUAAACUAAGGGAGCGUGCAUCGUCUAAACACAGCCACUCUAGCAAGUCUUCUGCUGCUGGGAGUGCCAUCUCUUCCCUAGCUGCCUUGCACAUUAAGGAGGCUGCACGUCUGGAGCUAAAGAGCAAGGUAGCGGGGGCGGAGGCUGAUGCUAAGGCAGCUGAUCUCACCCUUCCCUUUAAAGAAGAAGAGCAACGACUGCAAAUAGAACAGGCCCGUAGACAAAGCGAAAUGCAAAUAGAACAGGCCCGUAGACAAAGCGAAAUGCAAAUGGAACAGGCCCAAAGGCAAGGUGAAAUAGAAAUGCUUAGAAUAAGGAUGGAUGCUACUGCCAAAAAGGUAAGGGCUGAGACUUUGGCCAAGGCCCUAAUUGAGCCACUCACAGAAGAAAAUGUAAGUCAGUUGCCGAAGCAGGACCCUUCUUCCAAGGUGCUUGUGCAUCUUAAUAGCUUAAACAGCCAGUUUUCGGAUGAGGAACAGGAAGACUUCUCUCCUUACCCAGAGCAGGGCCCCAAAGUCACUUUUGAGUUUCCUGCAGAGCAGAGCGUCAUAGCGGGGAGCUCACCCUUGCCCGAGCUACCUGUGCCUCCUGCUAAAUCCCUAGGUCAGUCAAUCAGGGCCUCAAGGCCAAGUGCUAGUUGGCCCUUACAGACAGCUGCACAGGGAGCCACCGAUUCGUCAGUGGUCGAUGUCAUCCCUCCAAGAGGCCAAAGGUUGACGCAAGGUGCACGGUGGGAGUCCACUCCACAACAGCAAACUCCUCAAUUGUUCCCUUCGACGCCAGAGUCCCAGCUUGUCUCCAUCAUCAGAAGCCCCAGAAGAGAUCUUAAGGACAAGGGUGUCGAAAAGUUUUCGGACAAGCCUGAGGAAUUUCUUCUCUGGAAGGCCACCUUCCAGAGAGCAAUCAGAGACUUAAAGUUAUUGCCUGAGGAAGAACUGACUCUUCUGGCUGCAUGGUUGGGCCCAGCCUCAUCCUCACAAGUUAAGAAGAUCUACGCAGCCCACGUAGCCGAUCCCGACAAAGCCCUGGAAAAGGCCUGGGCCAGGUUGCAGCAGAGGUAUGGGGCCAGCACAGAGAUUGAAGCAUCUCUUAUGGACAAGCUCCAAAGGUUCCCAGCUUUGAAACUCAAAGACUUCAAACUCUUGUGGGACCUCAGCGAUCUCCUUACGGAAUUAGAGUCGGCCAAGGAGAAUCCAGAACUGCCCGGUUUGAAGUGCCUCGAUCAGCAUCUGUCCCAGCGGCAGAUUCUGGACAAACUUCCCUUUGCCCUGCAGGAAGACUGGGGGAAACAGGUUUUUAACUACAAGGAGGCCCAUUCUCAGGCGUACCCACCGUUUUCCCAUCUGGUCCAGUUCAUCACCAGAGCGGCCAGGGAAAGGAAUGAUCCACAGACGGGCCUGCCCACCUUAUAUCAAGGGAUCCAUACAGGGAAGGCGCCUGAAGUGGACAAGAAACCACCUAGAGAGGCCAAUAGACCUGUCAGCGUAAAGGCAGUCGAAACUCAACACAAGACUGACGAACCCAGGUCAGAGGUAAAAGAGUUGCUUUGCCCUAUUCACCAAAAGCCUCACAGCUUGGCCAACUGCAGGGAGUUUAGUAGGAAGACAUACAAAGAAAGGCAACAGCUAGUUCAAAAGCAGGGAAUCUGCUUUAGAUGCUGUGGAGCAACUCCGCACUUUGCAUCCAACUGCAAAGAAAACGUCAAGUGCGAGAAAUGCAACAGCGUCAAGCAUUGCACCGCAAUGCACAACUCCAAUGGUGUCUCCCACACCAAAGGGGACAUUUCACCAAAGGAAAGGACAGCAAGCGAAGAUACCGACAAGCCGGCUGCACCGCAGAUGCAGGUGGAAGUUUCAGCAGUCGCCUGCACUGAGCUGUGUUCCGAUUCGCACCAGUACAGGGUUUGUCAUCCUAUCUGCCUAGCGGAUGUAUAUCCAGCCAAGAGGCCUUGGCUUAAAAAGAGACUCUAUGUGGCUCUAGAUUCACAGAGCGACGCCUCCCUGGCUACUCCAGAGUUCUUCCGCAUGUUUGACCUUAAAGCCAAGAUGGUCGACUACACUAUGACUACGUGUGCAGGAAAAAAGAAGUUGCAGGGUCGCAUAGCAUCCGGCUUUGUUGUCUCCUCUUGUGACCAGAAGAGACUGUUCGAGUUACCAGACCUCAUUGAGUGUUCCUCUAUUCCCCGGAACAAAAGGCAGAUUGUCACCAGAGAAGUCGUGGAAGCCCAUCCUCACUUGCGAAAGCUGAAGAACGCCUUACCUGCUUUCCGUCCAGAUGUGGACAUUGCCCUUCUGCUUGGUGCGGACUGUCCGAACUUGUUCUAUGUGAACGACCAAGUUAAGGGACCUCCAGGGGCGCCCAUUGCUCAGCUGCUACCACUAGGCUGGACAGUUACAGGCCCAGUGUGCAUAAAUAGGAUGCACCCUCCAUCGUCGGUGGGCACUCGUCAAGCGCACGUGCUUCAAGGCAGUCGCCCCACACUAAUGCAUAGCUGUUUGAGUCAUAUCUCGGUCUAUUGUCAGGGGAUAACACCAGAGUAUUCUUCCAUCUUUGAAGUCUCCGAAAGGGAUGAAACUACAGCGCUUUCCAAAGAUGAACAGAGGUUUUUAGAGAUCAUGAACUCUCAAGUUUCCCGGAGUCCAGAGGGAAAUUGGAUAGCCCUUCUGCCUUUUAAAGCAGAAAAACCCACUUUGCCAAACAACAGGCAUGUGACAGAAAAAAGACUCUGGUCACUGAAGAAGAUAGGAUGGGAUCAAGAGCUGACCCCAUCGGUGAAAGCAGCUUGGGCAAAUUGGACUUCUCAAGCUGAAGGACUGGAAGCCAUCACAGUUCCCAGAUCAAAUAGAAUUAACAACAUUCUAUCUAGCUCCACACCUAGCCAGUGGCAUCAUGUUGCCACAAAUGACAACCCAGCCGACAUCGCUUCUAGAGGAGCAUCAGCUCAACGAGUUUUAAGAUCCAGUUGGUUGAUGGAUCCCCGAUGUUUAGCGGAUGUCUACUUCCCGUUGGUCUUUUCACCUUCGGAAAACAUAGAAUUACCAGAGUCUGUUCCAGAAAUAACAGCCUGCAAGACCACCACUGCAAUCAAGAUGGGCCAAAGAUCUUGCCUGGAACCACACCGUUUUGAAUGUUUUUCGGAGUGGCACAGUCUUCUUAGAGCAGUUGCUAGGCUUAUACAUCGUUUAGCUUGCAAAGAUAGUGAGCCUUUACAGGUCCAGGAUAUGAUAAAGGCUAAGAGCGUCAUAUUCAAGUCAGUACAGAGAUCUGCUUUCAAGCAGGAAAUAGCUAGGCUAGAGCAAGGGCUCAACAUCCCUAAUCAAAGUCUUCUAAAUGAGUUAAACCCAUUUCUAGACAAGGAGGGUAUUUUGAGAGUUGGAGGAAGGUUAGCCAAAGCUAAACUCAAGGCGUGCAUAAAAAACCCCAUCAUCAUACCCCCUAAUAGUCACACUGCAUUGCUGCUCGUUCGGCAUCACCAUGAAAGGAUCCAUCAUCAGGGUAGAACUCUAACUGAGGCAGCCCUUAGAAAUGAAGGUCUGUGGGUAGUUAAUGCCAAAAGGUUGGUCAACAGUUGUAUUUUCAAAUGUGUUAAAUGCAGGCGCCUUAGGCGAAACUGUCAAAGUCAGUUGAUGGCAGAACUACCUCAGGAUAGGACUUUGACAGACCCACCCUUUUCCCAUGUGGGAAUCGAUGUGUUUGGUCCUUGGGAGGUUGUCACUAGGAAAACCAGGGGUGGUGUUGUAAAUAACAAGAGGUGGGCAGUUUUGUUUACUUGUUUAGUAAUACGAGCUGUUCAUAUAGAAGUCAUAGAAGGGAUGGACACUUCAUCAUUUUUAAACGCAUUAAAAAGGUUCAUAGCCCUCAGAGGGCCAAUUAAGUCAAUUCGGUCGGACUGUGGCACCAAUUUUGUAGGUGCGACCAAAGAACUCAAUUGUGUGUCUAGGUUUGGGAGAGACCCAAAGGUUCAGAACUUUACGAAUACUGAACAAAUUAUGUGGACUUUCAAUGUUCCUCACGCCUCCCAUAUGGGUGGUGUUUGGGAGAGGAUGAUUGGUAUUAGUCGCAAAAUCCUUAAUGCCAUGUUUUUGAGUCAUAGGUCAUUGACGCAUGAUGUUUUGGUGACACUUAUGGCGGAAGUUACCGCAAUUAUCAACAACCGGCCGCUGGUUCCCCUUACCAGUGACCCUGAGAACUUACAACCACUGACUCCUGCACUUAUUUUGACACAAAAGGUGCCAGGAUGGAAGGACGUCAUGUUGCCAGUUCCGGACGGAACUCACCGUGCCCUGUGGAAACAGGUGCAGUCCUUGGCCAACCACUUUUGGAAAAGGUGGAAAGCUGAGUACUUAAGCCAGCUUCAAGCUAGAAGAAUCUGGCAAAGCCCACAGGACAACAUUGAGGUUAACAACGUUGUGUUGUUAAAGGACAAAGACUUGCCCCGCCAUGCAUGGCCCAUGGGCAUUGUAUUAAAGACCUUUCCUUGCCCGGACGGUAAGGUCAGGAAAGUUCAAUUAAAGACUUGCAACAGAGGCAAAGUGUCCAUUUUGGACAGACCAAUUAGUGACCUCGUGUUGCUUAUUGGAGAUGUUUAAAGUUCUAGUGUUUGUAUUGUCAUAUGUGCAAAGGUGUUUGUAUGUUUUUGAUUGGUAAAUUCCCACAUCCUGGGAAUUUAGCGGGGAGUGUUCCGUCCCCCAGGACGAUGGUUUGCCUUACCUAUUGGUCGUUUGUUUGUUUUCCCUCCUUUACAUUUUGUUUGAGCCUCUGGCUGCAAAAGCCUAGGAAAAAUGGCUUGGAAUCUGCAAGAGCUGGCUGCAGUUUUCUUUGCAGUGAUUGGUCAAAGAAUGCAACAUCUUAGGACCGCCCUUUUUACCAGGGUCUAGUCUCCAUUUUAGAGUUUCAUUCUGGCUAUAGUCUUCCAACGUGCUGGAGCUGUGCAAGGCUAACUGGGACAAAUCAUCCUCAAAACCAGGCCAAUCUAAGCCUAUCCAAAUUAGAUAAGUAUUGAAUUAUAUUGAUCUGGAAUAGGAAAUCUAGUUAUAGGAGCAGGGUUAUUCUGUCGCUUCUAGAACUAAUCUUUGCUGUAAAGAUAGGGAAGGAAAGAGUUUCUCCUUCUAAUAUAGGCAGCGUGAUUAGGGUAUAGUGGUUUUAUAAUCACCUUUGCUUUCUGGAACCAGGGAUAAUUCUGUACCUAAAACCUAUAGAAAUUUGUUUCAUUUUCUGCAACUUUAAGAUCUGUGCCAGGUUUACAACCUUGUAUGAAUAAACAUCCUUUUUUGAAGUUAUCCAGACUCAGUCGUUCAAUAUCUAUAGGACAGCUUAUAGGGAUUUGCAGUUCGCCCGGAUAAAGGACAGCACGUUUCAGUUUUAUAGUUUUUUAUUGUCCGGCGGACGGCACAAAUUUGAUUAAUUUGGUUGAUCCCUUAACCACAAAUCUGAAACCUGAAAUACUCCAAAAUCUGAAAUUGUCCAGAUGGGUGAUUGGGAUAGUGACACCUUAGCUUUCUGAUGGCUCAAUGUACAUAAACUGUGUUCCAUGUACAAAAUUAUUUACAAUAUUGUGUAUACAGAUAUCUUCAGGAUAUCUGUAGAAGGUGUGUAUGAAACAUAAAUGAAUUUUGUGUUUAGAGUGGGGUUCCAUCUCCAAAAUACCUUGUUAUGUAUAUGCAAAUGAUGCAAAAUCAAAACCCAAAACACUUUGGCCCUAAAUAUUUUGGAUAGGGGAUACUUAACUUCUAUUAACAUUUCUGUUAUUUUAAUGUGGGCCUUUCACAAUACACUAUACUCGCACUCUGGCUUCCAUUCUAGAAAGUACUUUAUGUGUUCCUGCUUGGCAGGGGAUUGGACUAGAUGGUUCUUGUGGUUUCUUCCAACUCUAUAAUUCUAUGAUUCCAUCCUAAGGAAUCUUGGAACAUGCAAUAUAGGGGUGAGGGACAUCUAGAAUUCUCAACAAGAGAGUUCUAAUGGCUUAUCAAACAACAAGCACCAGAUUUCCAUUGACUGUUGCCAUGGCAAUUAAAGUGGAGGAAUAGUAUUAUAACUUUGCAAUGUGAAAGGGCUUUGCUGUUUAAACUCUAAAUCUGGUCAGCACAUAGAAAGCACUAGAGGUACUUGCGAUUAAGACCAAUAGAACUUCGUGUGUGCUCUGAAUGGUUACUCCAGAAUGUUAAGAUUAAUUUUCUCCAUAUUUAACAGCUUAUCUUUGUAUACUUUUCUGUUUUUCCUAGAGUGAGGCAACAUAUGUGGCUCUUUUUCAUUGCUUGAUUCUUGCAGCCCCCGUGGGAAUGGUCAGGUUGAGCGAUGUUUCUUGAUCCAGAGUCUCUCAGGGAGUUUCAUGGCUCAGUGGAGACUAGAAACUGGCUAUACUAAGUUUUACUCUAACACUCUAACCAUGGUGCCACAUUAGCUCCACAGAUAACGAUGGGAACUAAGCUGUACAUGAUAAUAAGAAGUAGAGUUUGAGAUGUUUUUCUGUGCAUGUUUUAGGAGCACCACUGGCACUUUUAUUUGUCCCUGUGCACUAUUUACACCUUUUGCAGUGCAGUACAGUGCAUUGUUUUUUGUUUUGUUUUGGUAUGUUAUGGGUUUAUUACAUCCUCAAUGAAUUAAUGAUUAAUGGGCUAUUUGUUGUAUUGGGAUGACACAAAACAGGUAUUGUGGCGCUGAUAUAAUUUACUCCUACUGUGUAGCCUAUUGGCAAGUGUCAGUGGGAGUAUUAGAUAAAGUCAUAUCAUUUUAGAUUUACUGUUCCGUGUCUACUGUGGAGCUAUUUAUAUGACUCAGUGGUAUAGCCAGUUAAGUGCUGCCUUGGAAAAUGCUAACACGUUGAGUUGAUAAAACUAUGUGGUGAGCCUACAAGCAAUACAGUUAAACAGUAGUUACACUUUAUAAUUGAUUAUCAGCUUUCUGAUUACAGCAAAAACAGUUUGUAUUUUUGCAUCACAGUUUUAUAUUUAAAUAUAUUUAAAAUACAGUAGCAUCUCACUUAUCCAACAUAAACGGGCUGGCAGAAUGUUAGAUAAAUGAAUAUGUUGGAUAAUAAGGAGGGAUUAAGGAAAAGCCUAUUAAACAUCAAAUUAGGUUAUGAUUUUACAAAUUAAGCACCAAAACAUCAUGUUAUACAACAAAUUUGACAGAAAAAGUAGUUCAAUACACAGUAAUGCUAUGUAGUAAUUACUGUAUUUACAAAUUUAGCACCAAAAUAUCACGAUAUAUUGAAAACAUUGACUACAAAAAUGCAUUGGAUAAUCCAGAAUAUUGGAUAAGUGAGUGUUGGAUAAGUGAGACUCUACUGUAUUUAAAAGCCAUUGAAAACUGACGUGAAAUUUGUAAGCCAUUUUGAGACCCUUGGCAGGAGAAAAACAAGAGAUAAAUUUAAUAUUGAAAAUUAUUUUUCUGAGAAAGACUGGUAAAAUGACCCCACAGUCCCUGGGAGUAA